AAAAAGGUAAACCCUAAAUUUUCGUGUCCAACAUUUGACUGUUCGUCUUAUAUGAAAUAUUUUUUAUAAUUGGUAUUUUCACUGUGGUUAGAUGAUAAAACAUGAUUAAUAUUUUAUGCGUGACUUGUCUUUUUAACUUUUUCAUAACUUUUUUAAAUAAGACGAUCAAACGUUGGACACGGAAACUGAGGGUUUGUCUUUUU
This is a non-coding RNA of Oryza glumipatula, 203 nucleotides long. The record is from Rfam. NCBI's taxonomy places the organism in Eukaryota, Viridiplantae, Streptophyta, Magnoliopsida, Poales, Poaceae.